This 1826-nucleotide long non-coding RNA is filed under the name Olea europaea subsp. europaea. Lineage: Eukaryota; Viridiplantae; Streptophyta; Magnoliopsida; Lamiales; Oleaceae. The record is from RNAcentral.
CUAGAGGUCGGCCUGAUAGGCUCGUCGAGGGGGCGCCAGAGGCCCAGGAGGUGGCUAAUGUAGAAGUCCCUCCAGCAGAGUAGGGUUACCUUUUGUAAUGGCUUCGGCCUCUUUGUACUUAAAUUUAUUCAAUGAAAUGAAAUUUUUACUAAGUAUUUGGGCUUCUGCUUGUUUGUAUUUUCUAUCUGUUUAUAUUUGUAUGAAUGACAAACAUCAGACUAAUUGCCUCGCAACAAUAACCAGUUAAUAACUGCGGACUAGACCACUCAAGUUAAUAUAAGUUUAAACACUUAAGCGAGUAUGAAGCGACUCUUAAUGCCAACCUGUUAAUAAUUUGAGAUCGGACCACUUAAGCAAACAUGAAGAGCCCCUUAACGUUAAUCAGCUAAUAAUUGACGAUUGGAUCGCUUAAAUGAACCUUCUGAAGGACUGAGGAAACUAUUCACUAACUGAUGUGGCUCGGAACCGAAGAUUCAUUACUUAAGAUAAAUUACAUCACCCUUUACAAAGGUAAUUCCAGUAUUUAGGGAAUUUUACAACUGAGAUCAGAUCAGAACAAUCGAUUCAUUAUAACAUACUGAGAUCGGAUUGGAACAAAGUCUCAUUAUUGAUAGUACUUCCUCAAGUGUUCGAUGUUCCACUGAUGAGGCAGCGCCUUUCCUGACAUAUCUUCGAUUUCGAAGGUACCAGGUCGGGAUUCCCAGCGGAAGUGGUAAGGGCCUUCCCAGUUUGGGCCAAACACUCUUGACCCUGUUGGUUUUGAAAAUUGGAAAAACUCUUCUGAAGAGGAGGUCGCCCAAGCGAAGAGUUCUGUGCCUAACUUUGGAGUUGUAAUAGCGGGUCAUCUUUAGAUGAUAUUUUACCAAGAUCACUUGGGAGGCAUCUCUCUUUUCCUCAAGGAGGUGUAGUUCGCUUAUUCGAGCCUUGUCGUUGCUGAUCUCAUUGAAAUGUAUCCGUUGAUGUGAUGGGACCCCGACUUCUACCGGACUCAUGGCCUCGGCUCCGGAGGUCACGAAAAAUGGGGUUUCACCGGUUGCAGUUCGGCAAGAAGUCCUGAUAGCCCAGAGGACGUGGGGGAGUUCAUCAACCCAGGCCCCCUUUGAGAUAUCAAAUUUCCUUUUCAGGGUGUGUUUGAUAGUCUUGUUCACUGCUUCAACUUGCCCAUUCGCUUGGGGGUGAUGAGGUGUCGAGAAGUCCUUCUUUAUGCCCAGUUCGUCGCAUAAGUCUUGCAUCUUCCUAUUGUCGAACUGCCUUCCGUUAUCAGACACUAAGGAGUGGAAAAUGUCGAAUCUACAAAUGAUGUUUUUUCGAACGAACUUGGUAGUAUUAGCCUCGGUAAUUCUGGCAAGGGGUUCAGCCUUGACCCACUUAGUAAAGUAGUCAAUGGCGACAAUAGCGAAAGUUGCACUUUCUCUCCCUUUUGGGAGUGGACCAAUGAAGUUAAUGCCCCACUUGGCGAACGGCCAAGGGCUGGUUACUACGGAGAGGCUCUGAGCAGGCUGUCUUUGUAUGUUCGAGAAGCGCUGGCAUUUGUCACAUUUUUGGACAAAUUGGCAAGCAUCCCUUUUCAUGGUCGGCCAGAAGUAGCCUUGACGGAGAACCUUGUGUGCUAGAGCCGUUCCUCCGGAGUGAUUUCCACAGAUUCCUUCAUGGAUUUCCCUGAGUAUGUAUGUGGCCUCUUCGCCUCCUACGCAUCGAAGAAGAGGUGAAGCAAAGCCUCUUUUGUCAAGGGUAUUUUCUUGCAGGACGAAGUGUGCAGCCAUGCUUCUUAAUUUCCUCACCUCGCCUCUGGAAGCAGGCAGUGUUUGCUCCUUCAGGUACGCGAU